Molecule: long non-coding RNA, 202 nt
Organism: Penaeus monodon (black tiger shrimp)
Lineage: Eukaryota; Metazoa; Arthropoda; Malacostraca; Decapoda; Penaeidae
Exons: 3
Source: RefSeq, a predicted model, not a curated record
GAAAUUCUCGAUUUGGCAUCCCCUAAAAUUCGCUGGGUAUAAAUACCUCACGAAUCCCAACCAUCGACUCAGUCCGGGAUCAGCAGCUGAAUCAAGAUGAAGCUUCACUUUCUUCUCGGUAUUCUAUUGUCGACGGUAAUCAUGUUGGCGGAAGCGAAAAAUGGGCUGACCAAUCGGAGAGGCAAUAAAGAACACAUGGACA